RNAcentral lists this ribosomal RNA (2702 nucleotides) under Escherichia coli. Its description in RNAcentral is "partial 23S ribosomal RNA". It matches the Rfam family "Bacterial large subunit ribosomal RNA". The record is from RNAcentral. Lineage: Bacteria; Pseudomonadati; Pseudomonadota; Gammaproteobacteria; Enterobacterales; Enterobacteriaceae.
GGGUUGUGAGGUUAAGCGACUAAGCGUACACGGUGGAUGCCCUGGCAGUCAGAGGCGAUGAAGGACGUGCUAAUCUGCGAUAAGCGUCGGUAAGGUGAUAUGAACCGUUAUAACCGGCGAUUUCCGAAUGGGGAAACCCAGUGUGUUUCGACACACUAUCAUUAACUGAAUCCAUAGGUUAAUGAGGCGAACCGGGGGAACUGAAACAUCUAAGUACCCCGAGGAAAAGAAAUCAACCGAGAUUCCCCCAGUAGCGGCGAGCGAACGGGGAGGAGCCCAGAGCCUGAAUCAGUGUGUGUGUUAGUGGAAGCGUCUGGAAAGGCGCGCGAUACAGGGUGACAGCCCCGUACACAAAAAUGCACAUGCUGUGAGCUCGAUGAGUAGGGCGGGACACGUGGUAUCCUGUCUGAAUAUGGGGGGACCAUCCUCCAAGGCUAAAUACUCCUGACUGACCGAUAGUGAACCAGUACCGUGAGGGAAAGGCGAAAAGAACCCCGGCGAGGGGAGUGAAAAAGAACCUGAAACCGUGUACGUACAAGCAGUGGGAGCACAGAGCAAUCUGUGUGACUGCGUACCUUUUGUAUAAUGGGUCAGCGACUUAUAUUCUGUAGCAAGGUUAACCGAAUAGGGGAGCCGAAGGGAAACCGAGUCUUAACUGGGCGUUAAGUUGCAGGGUAUAGACCCGAAACCCGGUGAUCUAGCCAUGGGCAGGUUGAAGGUUGGGUAACACUAACUGGAGGACCGAACCGACUAAUGUUGAAAAAUUAGCGGAUGACUUGUGGCUGGGGGUGAAAGGCCAAUCAAACCGGGAGAUAGCUGGUUCUCCCCGAAAGCUAUUUAGGUAGCGCCUCGUGAAUUCAUCUCCGGGGGUAGAGCACUGUUUCGGCAAGGGGGUCAUCCCGACUUACCAACCCGAUGCAAACUGCGAAUACCGGAGAAUGUUAUCACGGGAGACACACGGCGGGUGCUAACGUCCGUCGUGAAGAGGGAAACAACCCAGACCGCCAGCUAAGGUCCCAAAGUCAUGGUUAAGUGGGAAACGAUGUGGGAAGGCCCAGACAGCCAGGAUGUUGGCUUAGAAGCAGCCAUCAUUUAAAGAAAGCGUAAUAGCUCACUGGUCGAGUCGGCCUGCGCGGAAGAUGUAACGGGGCUAAACCAUGCACCGAAGCUGCGGCAGCGACGCUGAUGCGUUGUUGGGUAGGGGAGCGUUCUGUAAGCCUGUGAAGGUGUGCUGUGAGGCAUGCUGGAGGUAUCAGAAGUGCGAAUGCUGACAUAAGUAACGAUAAAGCGGGUGAAAAGCCCGCUCGCCGGAAGACCAAGGGUUCCUGUCCAACGUUAAUCGGGGCAGGGUGAGUCGACCCCUAAGGCGAGGCCGAAAGGCGUAGUCGAUGGGAAACAGGUUAAUAUUCCUGUACUUGGUGUUACUGCGAAGGGGGGACGGAGAAGGCUAUGUUGGCCGGGCGACGGUUGUCCCGGUUUAAGCGUGUAGGCUGGUUUUCCAGGCAAAUCCGGAAAACUAAGGCUGAGGCGUGAUGACGAGGCACUACGGUGCUGAAGCAACAAAUGCCCUGCUUCCAGGAAAAGCCUCUAAGCAUCAGGUAACAUCAAAUCGUACCCCAAACCGACACAGGUGGUCAGGUAGAGAAUACCAAGGCGCUUGAGAGAACUCGGGUGAAGGAACUAGGCAAAAUGGUGCCGUAACUUCGGGAGAAGGCACGCUGAUAUGUAGGUGAAGUCCCUCGCGGAUGGAGCUGAAAUCAGUCGAAGAUACCAGCUGGCUGCAACUGUUUAUUAAAAACACAGCACUGUGCAAACACGAAAGUGGACGUAUACGGUGUGACGCCUGCCCGGUGCCGGAAGGUUAAUUGAUGGGGUCAGCGCAAGCGAAGCUCUUGAUCGAAGCCCCGGUAAACGGCGGCCGUAACUAUAACGGUCCUAAGGUAGCGAAAUUCCUUGUCGGGUAAGUUCCGACCUGCACGAAUGGCGUAAUGAUGGCCAGGCUGUCUCCACCCGAGACUCAGUGAAAUUGAACUCGCUGUGAAGAUGCAGUGUACCCGCGGCAAGACGGAAAGACCCCGUGAACCUUUACUAUAGCUUGACACUGAACAUUGAGCCUUGAUGUGUAGGAUAGGUGGGAGGCUUUGAAGUGUGGACGCCAGUCUGCAUGGAGCCGACCUUGAAAUACCACCCUUUAAUGUUUGAUGUUCUAACGUUGACCCGUAAUCCGGGUUGCGGACAGUGUCUGGUGGGUAGUUUGACUGGGGCGGUCUCCUCCUAAAGAGUAACGGAGGAGCACGAAGGUUGGCUAAUCCUGGUCGGACAUCAGGAGGUUAGUGCAAUGGCAUAAGCCAGCUUGACUGCGAGCGUGACGGCGCGAGCAGGUGCGAAAGCAGGUCAUAGUGAUCCGGUGGUUCUGAAUGGAAGGGCCAUCGCUCAACGGAUAAAAGGUACUCCGGGGAUAACAGGCUGAUACCGCCCAAGAGUUCAUAUCGACGGCGGUGUUUGGCACCUCGAUGUCGGCUCAUCACAUCCUGGGGCUGAAGUAGGUCCCAAGGGUAUGGCUGUUCGCCAUUUAAAGUGGUACGCGAGCUGGGUUUAGAACGUCGUGAGACAGUUCGGUCCCUAUCUGCCGUGGGCGCUGGAGAACUGAGGGGGGCUGCUCCUAGUACGAGAGGACCGGAGUGGACGCAUCACUGGUGUUC